This 219-nucleotide long non-coding RNA is filed under the name Lathyrus oleraceus (garden pea). RNAcentral describes it as "Pisum sativum (pea) long non-coding RNA (PSAT_LNC038395)". The record is from RNAcentral. Lineage: Eukaryota; Viridiplantae; Streptophyta; Magnoliopsida; Fabales; Fabaceae.
AGGUGGGAUCAAAUGCAUUGGAAAGCUUACGAUGUCCACUUCAAAUGUUAUGUUGAACAAAAUUUCAAAAUCUCAAAGGAAAUACAUGUGAUAAUGCAAGACAUUAUAGGUCCUUUUUGACCAAAGGCAUUAAAAGGCAAAAAAGUCCAACUUGAAGUGCCCAUAACUUCUUCAUAAAAAAUCCAAAUGAUGCAAAAUAUAAGUCCAUUUUGAUUGUCU